This 199-nucleotide long non-coding RNA is filed under the name Elaeis guineensis (African oil palm). RNAcentral's name for it is "long non-coding RNA (EGUI_LNC053788)". Lineage: Eukaryota; Viridiplantae; Streptophyta; Magnoliopsida; Arecales; Arecaceae. The record is from RNAcentral.
CAUGCCAUAUUACUUUUUGAUGAAAGUAUAAAAUUCUAUCUCUUUGCAUGCUCAUUUUUGUUUUGAUCGACAUCGGCUAGGUGAUUCUAGGGUUUGGGUUUCGGCUCGAUAGUUUUAACUACUAAACCUAUUGAUUUGUUCAUUUUAAAAAUUUUAAAAUUUAAUUUUCACUGCAUGAUCAAAAUCCAACACAUAGGUA